GACGAACGCUGGCGGCGGGCUUAACACAUGCAAGUCGAACGGAAAGGCCCUGCUUUUGUGGGGUGCUCGAGUGGCGAACGGGUGAGUAACACGUGAGUAACCUGCUCUAGACUUUGGGAUAACUUAAGGAAAGUGGGGCUAAUACCGGAUCGCAGACCCUGCUGCAUGGUGGGGGUUGGAACGUUUCGGCGGUCGGGGAUGGAUUAGCGGUUUAUGAGCUUGUUGGUGGGGUAGUGGCUGACCAAGGAUUUGAAGGGUAGCCGGCCUGGGAGGGUGACCGGCCACAGUCGGACAGAGAAACGGCCCAGACGGAUACGGGGGGCAGGAGUGGAAAAUAUUGCACAACGGGCGGAAGCGUGAUGCAGGAACGCCGCGUGCGAGAGGACGUCCGUCGGGUAGGAAACCGCUUUCGCCUGUGACGAGGCGUGAGGGACGGAAAUGGAGAAAGAAGCACCGGCUAACUACGG
This 467-nucleotide ribosomal RNA is filed under the name uncultured bacterium. Its description in RNAcentral is "partial 16S ribosomal RNA". It matches the Rfam family "Bacterial small subunit ribosomal RNA", at positions 28 to 506 of the family's 1533-position model. The record is from RNAcentral.